This is a long non-coding RNA of Equus caballus (horse), 4277 nucleotides long. The record is from Ensembl. Lineage: Eukaryota; Metazoa; Chordata; Mammalia; Perissodactyla; Equidae.
ACGGCGUGGGCACCGGUGGUCCUCGGCUGCUUCUUGUCCUACAGUGACUGCGAAUUCACUUACAUACAACUAUGCUCUCCACACAUGCUGAAACUGGGGAUCUAAACAUAAAACACGGUCCCUGCUCCCCUGGGGGAGCACACAGUCAGACUGGGAAACGCAGAGAUAAUCAUCAGAGGAUGGGUACGCACCACAGCAGAGAUAGUAAGAGGGGCUGCAAAGCAGCCAGAAGAUGUGUGCGGCCCAGCAUGAGGUCACCGGACUUGACCUCAUUUCCUUUUUAAUGAGAAGGUGAGGCUGAAGCCGUAGGCCAAGCAGGAGCCUGCUGCCACAACCCAGGUUCUUCCGGAGCGUGAGACCGAACCCCAAGGCAACGACCAUCCGCUCUGACAUCACAGGAGCCGGCCAGCUGCCUCCCUCCUGACUCACGACUUCAUCUUCCCCGAGGUCAAGGAGAAGCAAGUGGCACCCUCACCAGCCUCCACCACGGCCCUUACACCUGCCGUCUGGUUUGGGUGGGAACGGGGAGCAGCCUCGGGCUUCAAAUCCCUGUCGUUGGCGGUGGGAACCUCUCAGAGCCUCAGUUUCCUCGUCUACAGGAUAUUCCGACCAAUAAGCAGCCUAUAAAGUUGAUAGUGUGUGUCCCAAAUGGAAAGGCCCCAGAGAGGGCCCUGCCAGGCCUGGGCUGGGUUCGACAUCCACCCCGCUGAUCCUUGGAACCAGGGAACGGGUGCGCCCCCUGCCCCGGGGACUCCAGGGACAGAAUGCCGCUAUUGAUAACCCCAUUAGAACCACUGGAUUGGGGGAAGAAUGGACCCCAACGGAACAGCGUCAGCAGACUGGUGAUAGUAGGAAAAAGAGCCCAUAUUAGUGAAGGAUGCAAAUAAGCAUAAAAAGGGAAAAUUGUGCAGUGAGGUAACGAGGACCCAAAGGAGAGAGCAGCAGAGUCUCUGAGGGUCUGUGGGAGGAAACAAUGAAACACUCACCUAAUUACCACCCAUCAGAGCAUCUGCCUCCCAGCGUUCACAGUUUAAUUUGAAAAUGACGAGAGCUCUGGUCCGUUGCUAAUUCGAUUCCCAAGAAGAUUACAAAGCUUCAAAAUCAGAAACAUCUGGACAGCAAGCUUCUGCGGUCCGUUUCCUACAGGACAAGUCAUAAAGGCCCGGCCAAAGUCUCAACUGAACUCUUCGUAUUUGAGUUAAAGAAGUUUUCCAUUUCUUCGUUUUAAAAUACUCUGGCAAAUACUUUGUGAAUUGUCUGCAUUUUGACUUGAAUUAGUGUUCCCAACUGCCAGUUGCUCUGAUUCUGCAAUUAAAUGCAUCCAUCCAACACUUUCAUGUUUCUGUCAUCUCUAGACCAGUUAGAUACGCAGGGAAGAGCAAUACAAACACAUUUUUAUCUAGUCGCUUGUCUCCUAAUCCCUUCCCAACAUGGAUUUUAAGGCUUUUGCAGAGAAAUAGGAAACACAUUGUACCAACUUUCUAUAAAAGCACAAAAGUCCCCAAAGACUUAAGGAUUGCAAUCAACUUUGGCACCCUAUUUAGUGCCAUGGGGCUAGCGGUUGAUGACUUUAUACUUUGGGGUGGAAAUAGGAGUUUAUUUUCAAAAUAGAGCCCCUCAUUACGCCAGUUGAACAGACUGCUGAGCAUGGACACUUGCUCUGAGGACAGAGGUCUAGCAACAAAUUCCGAAUCUCUCGUUCAUUCUGACCGCGGUGUCCAUCACAGUGUCGGGCCAUCUCUAUGCGGGGAUCCUGGGGCACCUCCAGCUCAGCAUGUCUGAACACCUACGGACUCAGGGGCGGGGGAGGAGGGGCUGCCUUCUUCCUCAGCUAAGGCAGGUCGGGGAGAGCCGGGGCUGUCUGUCUGUUUCCCAGGGCAGAGCUCUGACACAGCACCACCACCUCUGGACGCUGACCCCGCAUCACUCCACCACCAGGUGCUCUCAGCUCCACCCUCCUCGGUCUCCCCUUUAGCUGAAAACCUCCUAUUUCUACCUGGACUGCAACAUCUUACUCACGGCUGGGCACCCGGGUCUCAAUCCUGUGAGCCACACGGCCUUAAGGCUCGCUCACCUGAACUAAACCUCAGUCGGGCUUCUUCCCGACUCCAGCCCGGACCUUCCUGGCUUAGAGCAUUUACUUUAGGAAACUUGUCAUUGCACGUUCUUUCUCUGCCCCUUUGAGAUGCAAAUCUUUUGAAAAGCCUCUUGCCAGUUGUACAACUCAGGAAAUGUAUUUCUCAAGGACCUGGAGCCAUCCCUUUGGCACAUCAUCCUCAAGGAGUGGAGCAUCCACAUCUCCCAGUCUCUGCGGGAAGGUAGGAGCCUCAAUGUGGGGGCACCUUCCUCCAAGUCAGAAAACUACCUCCCAUAAUAAAGACACAAAAAAGUUUACCUUUCCUUUGGGGAAGGCCAAGGGGUAAAUAGGCGUGGCCUAUGACCCCCAUCCCUCCCACCGUUGAUUCAGCAGAGCUGAGCUCAGACUGCAUUCGGGCCUCCCUCCUCUGUUGCAGUAGCCUUGGAUAAAGUUUUCCUCGCCUGUUGAAAUUCGGCGCAAUUUUUGCUUUGACACUGAAUGAACUCAUGGAUCACCUGGGGAGCUGUAGACAUCGGGCGGGAUGCCUCAGCCACACCUGGGAACAUUCGACGAGACUCCCUGAGGUUGGGACUCAGACACCCUGACUUUCAAGGCUCCCCUCUGACCGCAUGGGGCAGUGAAGGUUGAGGAGCACAGACCUGAUCCCAGUGCUCUCCAGUCCUUCCCUUCAGGCCUUCCAGCUGCAGACUGUGUGAGUAAGGUGGGGGUUGGGGGAGGGCAGCUGCCCAAGAUCCAUUCUCAAGAUAGGAGAACUAGGCACGUCUACCUGAGGCAUCUUUUUACAAAUUGUGACAUGUGCCUUCCUAUGGCGUUGUGUUUCCAUUCUGCUGAGAUACUGGAUACAAGGUAGCUAUGCAUCCCUUAAAUCCUGUUAAAAAAAAAGGCCGAUAACUCCAGCCAUGCCUGGAGUUCUGCCCUCCUGCAGACUGGGAACCUUUCUGGCUGCUUCUUUGUUGCACAUUCCUACUUGGACUCGAGUGCCUUUCGAAAGCUCCUCGGCACCAAGACAGCCCUGGUUGGCUGGACAGAUGUGCUGUGAGCACGCCUGACACAGAAGUGUUCCUUCAACACAGCACAUAGUGUCCACGUGUGGGGGAGAAUGUGAGCCAGCACAUGAGCACCCCUCCUUGUGUGUGUGGCACUCGAUGGCAUGGUGGCAUGUGAACUGAGGCUCCGGGUGAAGGCGCUGAGACACCGCCUAGCACUCCCCCACAGUUCCCUCAGGAGGAGCCGUGGGAUGCUUCCUCCGACGGGCUGGAUGAGGGGACCUCGCCUCCUCUCCCAGCAAGAACACUUCCUUUGUAUAAAAGCAUGUUGGGCCAGAGAGACCAGACUCUCCAGGCACAAGUGGCCCAGGUGGAACAGGGAGUGGACUCACUGGUGGGGUGUGGGGCGUGGGGCGGGAGCUGCCAGAGAGCACGGAGGUGGGACAACUAGAGAAAGAUGGACAGCCAGGUGACAGUGCUGGUGUCCCUAAGAGGGAAGGCCGUGAGAGAAAAACCUUCUCUGCAAGGGAUGUUGAAUAUUCAACUCUCCUAUUUGGGGAUUCAUGCCUUCUUUUUCAUUUUUUUUUUAAAUAUCGGCACCUGAGCUAACAUCUGUUGCCAAUCUUCUAUUUUUUCCUUCUUCCCAAGGCCUCCCUAGUACAUAGUUGUAUAUUCUAGUUGUAGGUCCUUCUGGCUCUGCUAUGUGUGAUGCCACGUCAGCAUGGCUUGAUGAGUGGUGAUAGGUCCACACCCAGGAUGCAAACCGGCGAAACCCUGGGCCACCAAAGCAGAGUGCGCGAACUUAACCACUCGGCCACGGGACCAGCCCCCUCAUGCCUUCUUUUACUAGCAUUGUUUUAAAAAUACACAGAGGCACUGCAUCCCAUUCUCUCUGUGCCCUGACUGCCGGGAUGCAGGGAGCAGGUUCCCAUGGCCAGGAGAGGUGAGUCACCCCAACUUCAGCUGUCUCCAUGGCCACUGAUCCAUUGACCUUCGUCAUUUUCCCCUGGAAUUCUCUGAAAAUUCCCCAAUUCCUUUUUCUGCCUCCAAUCUCACCUCCCUCAAAUCUACCCUCAACAAUAUUCCCUUAAACAGAAAUCUCAUUGUCACUUCCCCAGGACUUCCCAAGGCUCCAUCACCACCUGCAGGCUAAAGUGUCGCCUCCUUAGCCUGGCAGAAGACGACCACCAGCC